RNA transcript from Polistes canadensis, 6516 nucleotides. RefSeq lists it as uncharacterized. NCBI's taxonomy places the organism in Eukaryota, Metazoa, Arthropoda, Insecta, Hymenoptera, Vespidae. The record is from RefSeq and is a predicted model, not a curated record. The transcript has 18 exons.
UAACCGAAGUAUUAUCGCGAAUGUAUACGAAAACGUACGAAUACGACCGAAAGCUCAGCGAACGCGGAGGAGAGAACGAACCUACGUCGUUGUUGGAGUAGGAAGGAAGCGAUAUUGUGAGUCCGUGCUGAGGAGUCGAGCUUCCGUCGUCGUUCCUUCGCGUUCGAGGAACGAUGAGGAGUACGACAUUGAAUAAAAGGAAGCGAACGUGCGGCUUUCAAAUAAAAUAAGAAGAUCAAGAGAAUAACAGAUAUAAGAGAAAGAAAGUCUUUCAAGAGUUCAAUCAUAAAUUUAAUCGAAUUAGAAUUGAAUAGAAAAAAAGAAAAAAAAAGAAAAGGGGAAGAUUUGGUAGACGCGCAUGUCCGUUCCCAGUUGUUGUUAGUGGUGGUCAUGCUUCAUGAAUUGUCGUCGAUGAAGUAAAACCGAACUCGGGUUGUCCAGACUGACUGUGCUAAAUAUUUGAAUACACACCUUGGUGAACGGAUGCGAUUGAACGUUUGCUAUUCCUUAAAAGGAGGAAGACGAGAACGAGGACGAGGACGAGAACAAGGACGAGGACGAGGACGAGGACAAGGAGGAAUCUUCCCUUUAGUAUUAACUGCGUUUUUUUACUUGUCCUUUCCCUCUCUCUUUUUGGUGGCGGUAACAACCACCAGCAGCAGUAGCAGCAGCAGUAGCACCACCACCACCACCCUCACCCCCACUAUUAUUACUACCACCACUACCACCAUUACCACCGACUAGAAUCCUCGUCCCACCCCAGAAAGCUUCUCCCUCCCCCAAAAUAUGGUCGGAGGCGGUGACGGUGUUGGUGCUGUUGCUGCUGCUGCUGCUGGUGCUGCUGCUGGUGCUGGUGCUGGUGGCAGCGUAGCGCGGGUGCGCGCGGUGCUACCUUAACAGCUAGAACGCUGCUGGACGACAGUGGUGCUGACUUUGGAGAGACUCGUCGAGCUAACCGAAGAAAAUCUUGCAAGCUCGUUCGAGCUCCACCGGAUGGCUCGACGUGUACUACUUCAUUGCUAAAAUAAUAAGCCGAGAAAAAGAGAGAGAAAGCACACGCGCAACAACAAAAAAGAAACAGGGACAAUUAGAUACAUAUUUGCAAACAAGGAAGGAAGUAGAAAAAAGCUCGUCGCUGUCAAGCGAUCUUGAAUGUAUGAGAGAGAGAGAGAGAGAGUGUGUGUGUAUGUAUGUAUGUAUGUGUGUGUGUGUGUGUGUGUGUGUGUGAGAGGGAGAGAGAGUGCCGGUCGAUAAUUAGAUCCUUGUGCGAUUUCCUCAUCUAAGAAGAUAGAAGAAUAAAAGUUAAGGGCAAAUAAAGGAGUGUCUCGUCCUGGAUUAAAAGCUUUUAUAGUGUUCCUCGUGAUACCCAGUGCUAAAGUUUGAUUACCUUUAUCAUUGAAAAGAAUAGAAAGGAAAAUAUAAAAGGGGAGGAAGUAAGAAGUGAAAUAAAAAAAAUCUAGGGAACGUUGUCGAACAACAGAAGGUUGUCCAAGAAGGGAAGAGUUGGUAGUGUCUCUCUCUCUAUCCGUUUCUGGUUCCCAUCGGUUGUUUUUCCAAGCUCUGUCGCAACGACGGCGGUCGAUCCAGAGCUCGAGGAAGCAAGUGGAAGGGAGGAGGCCGAGGCGCAGGAGGAGCAGCAGCAGCAAGAGGAGGAGGAGGAGGAAGAGGAGUUGGUGGUGGUCGUGGAAGAGGAGAAGGAGGAAGAGGAAGAGGUGAUUUCUACGUUCGAACGAGGAAGAUCGUGCUUCGUGCAUCUCCGCUGCGGAUCUCACGAUGACGGAUGGCUGUACGUGCGUUCUUUCCUCCUUUGAAACACGACUGACCAGCGACGGGGACGAACGGAACCACUUCUCUGUACCUUGAUACGAUCUCGUGGGCGUGCGGGGGUGACUGGAGUGAUGGGAUGGGGCCAGAGCCCCAUGGAGUUCGGGUAGACCCGUCUCCGGCCCAGCUCCCCAGCCCCCUCCGCCAUAAAUAUCGCCACUGCUCCUGCCAAAGACGCAGAGGGCCCCCAAGAUCGCGAUGGAGGCUUCUAGCAAUCAACAACUACAACAAAAAGAGAAGGAGUCACGUGUUCACAGGCCUUACGCCUUCGAUAAGAUGGAGGGGCUGGUGCGGGAGAUGCAAGACCCUCAAAACGGGGUACCCGUGCGCAGCCAAAAACAAUUUCUCACUUUGAUCCCCUCAGCGUUCAUGGGUUACGACCUCGUCGAGUGGCUUAUGGAUCGGCUUUCCAUCGAGGAAUCAGUAGAGGCGCUCCAUAUUGCUAAUCAACUAUGCCAGUAUGGUUACUUCUUCCCGGUGAACGACUCCAAGACGCUUACCGUUAAGGAUGAUAGCUCGCUAUAUAGAUUUCAGUCACCGUAUUAUUGGCCAUGGCAACAUAGAAAUCCUGACAACGUGGAAUACGCUAUUUAUUUGGCUAAACGAACAUUACGGAACAAACAACGGCACGCUCUUGAAGAUUACGAAAUCGAAGCAUUAAACAGUCUACGGAAGAACCUGCAAAAUAAAUGGGAUAUUAUACAACUACAGGCUGAGGAACAGGCUCAGGUACGAUUAGCUAAAGACCGGAAGAAGGGGGAUAAGAUAGUAAGCGAUUCACAGGAAAGAGCAUUUUGGAGAGUUUACCGGCCACCACCUGGUUGUCUUAGCAGUCUUGAAGUAGUUCCAGGACCGACACGUUUUCGUCCAGGACUUCCACGUCCUCCGCCACGUAAACGAACCGUCGCUGAAUUACAACGAGAGGUGGACUUUCUUCAAAACAGUUUAACACGCACGAGAAUCAAGGUUUCAGCUGCUAUAGAAAAUUUGAAGUCAUAUUUUGAAACUUACGUGGAAUACGACCCGAUGUUCGUACAUCCGCUACCUUCGAAUCCGUGGAUCACAGAUGACAGUACAUUCUGGCAAUUGAACAGUCCAGUAGUGGAAGUCCCCACGGAAAAGCGUGUCAAACGAUGGGAAUUAUCGAUGGAAGAACUCAUGUCUGAUCCAACAGGCUUGCUCGAAUUCACGAAUUAUUUGAGGAAAGAAUACAGUCACGAAAAUAUUCGCUUUUGGUUGGCUGUUAAAGAUUUGAGGCAUAGUUACCAAGCUCAAAUACCGGAAAAGGUUAACGAAAUUUUCAGAGAAUUCCUGGCUCCGGGUGCUCCUUGCGAGAUCAACAUCGAUGGAAAGACAAUGGAGAAGGUUCAUCAAGAGAUGAGAAAUCCCAGCAGAUUUACCUUCGAUUCAGCCGCCGAGCAUGUAUAUACUUUACUUCUGAAGAAGGAUUGUUACCCCAGAUUUAUUCGCUCGGAUCAAUAUCGAAAUCUUUUAGCGGCCGGCAUACAGCCAUUGCAAAAGAAAAGAUUCUUCAGCUUCGGUGGCCAAGCAAAAAAGAAAAUGGCGUCUAGCGCGAGUACAACGACGAGCACGUUGCAACAACAACAACAACAACAACAACAUGGUGGCAAUCUAGGAAGCAGUGGAGGUGGUACUGGUGGUAGUGCUAGUAGUGGUGUUGGUGGUGUUGGUAGUGGUGGUAGUGGUGCUGGUGGUGGUAGAAGAAGAGGAAGCGAUCGAAGCCUCUCGGGAUCAGCUCACGAACUUGCCGUUUGUGGAGUUCGUGAAAUAAGUUCAACGCCAAGAGUCCCGCAUUCUCAUAGCCAAUCAAAUCUCACCGAUAUUCCAUACAGGGGUGAUCUGGCGCGACUCCUAAAGAUCCCUACGAGGCCUAGUCCACAUAGUAUUCAGGAUGCUGGCGCCACGGAGGCGACGGUUCGCCCUAUGGACGACGUUUGCCCUUGGGACGCGAUCCCAGGGCCAAGUACAGAAGCCGGGCCGGAUGCGGCAUCGUUUGGAACGAGCCCGUGGCCUGACACGACCCAGGAAUCCUGGGAAUACGGGAACGACGUUACCAAAACGUCCAUACAUUUUAUCGACGUGGCUCGACCAUCUCGAAAGAAUUCUUCACAAUUGGAUUCAUGCAGUUCCUCUUCCGAUGUCAGUCUUGCUAUAGCCGAAGUCUCGGACAGGUUGAGAAAGUCCUGCAGUCUUCAGCACAGUGCUGUCCCAAGUGCCAGGAUGGAACGGCAUGGUAUCGGUUCUGGACCGAGUGGACAUACCAUCACCAGAAAUUAUUCAACUGGUUCAACUAGCAACAGAGUCAAACUCUCGGACAUUGGUCGGCCAUUGGCCACGUCAUGCAACUUACCAUCGCCUCGGGAAUCCUUCGAGUAUAGCCACGCAGCUGGUGAGAAGUUCGAGACGAUAAUAUCCGAGGCAACGAUCGAGGAACCAGAAACAUUAAUUAUAACGACAACGACGACUACUACAUCGUUAGAAACAACGCAACAAAUGGACAAAGUUGUAACGAUAGAGGAAACAAAAAAAGGUACGAGAAGGUUAUCAGCGAAAGCACCGUUGAUAAGUAUCAGUGCGAUCGUCGGCGACUUGCCAAGUGAUUCCGAGGGUGUUGGAACAACGAUUGGCGAUGUUUGUACGCCAUCCAAAGAAACUUUAAUGGAAAUUGAAUUGGAGGAAGAGAAAGAGAGAAAGGAAAAGGACAAACAAAAAGAAACGGAGAAGGAGGAAGAAAGGGAAACGGAAAAGGAAAAAGAUAAAGAAGAAGAAGAAGAAGAAGAAGAAAGAGGAGGAGGAGAAGUAGAAAGAGAAGGAGAAGAAGUGUUGUUGGAAAAGGAUGAUGUUGAAAAAGUAACCAAGGAAGUUGGUGCCGAAAUACAAAAGGAUGAGCCCACUGAGGAAGCUCAGGUUGUUCCUGUUUGGGAGCCGGACACCCAACAGGAAGACCAAACGGCACCAACUACCACCGCUACAACCACCAGUACUGUGCCCACUCGGGAUAAGCGUGACAAUAAUGUUAACGAAGUGUGCCCGUGGGAGGACGAGUAUAAUUUCUCGUAGAGGCGUAGAAUCGAAGACUGAAAUGGAAGACGAGACGCGUUAUAGUUGAAGGGAGAACUGUAGAGUGGAUACAACCUAUGUAAAAACGUAUGCGACAUUAGGUUAUUUGUAACUUAGCGUUAAAAGCGCUCUGAUAUUUGCAUUUUACACUUUAAAAAACACACAUUCGUAAAUCCGAUUAACAAUUUUCUUCACUUCGCUGAUCUCGAGUGCAUGAACUUUCUCGUAUGGUUACUUCGAAUAUUCGAUAAGAUGUGUCAUUAAAACAAGUUAUCGAAUGAUCAAGAAAAAUGUUUAGAUAUCGGUCAAACAGAUUUGAUGAUCCAUGCACCAUCGAUAAAAUAGAUUUGCGUGAUCUUCGAAUUGUUGUAUUUGAGUUUUAAGGUUCGAAUAAACGUUCGAAUACGUUCGAUCUACGAAUAGAAAUAUGAUUACUAUAAACGAUCGUUGAUAAAUUAAUAAUAUUCUUUCUAAAUUAAAACAAAUUAAUGUGCAAAUUGAUAUAUGGCCUAACAUUUUGAUUUAUCGAUACGAUUACCGACUGAGCCAUUACAGCCAUUUUGUUUUUCUCUUUUUAAAAUAAGUCGAGGUAUUAUAAUUAAUUUCCAUAUAUUUUCUAUUUAUAAUUAAUGACGAUUAUAUGAAAUAAACGAGAAGUUGUUGUCACAUAAAGCGUAUUAGAAUAUGCAUUUAGGCUACGAAUAAUAUGCAGUAGUGGUGCGUAAUGCAAAAUGUCUCUGUGUCGAAUAAAAAAUAACACAAAAAAAAAUAAGAAAAAUAUUAAUCGAAAAUAAUUUCUAUGAUAUCGUUCGUUAAGCAUCGAAUAAAGCGAUAAAUUAUAUUCGAGAACAAAAUUAUCGAGAGUCUUGCUUGAAUUUAUACGUUAAAUUUGAUUUUUUAUUUGUAACAACCAUAAGCGUGGCCUUUGGAUGCUCGUCAACAAUGAGCCCCUUGACCGCACGCAAAGACCACCUUAAUAAUUAUCAAUAAUAAUUGUUAAUUCAAUAAUUCGUAUGUGUGAUUUUAAUAAGAUUAAAAUUAAUCUCAACUUCGAUGGAAUAUUAAUUUAAGUAUCAAAUUAAAUAUUAAUAAUUUACUAAAAUAUAAUAUUUCAAAUAAACAUAAUUAUUUCUUGUGUAAUUAUUCCUAUAACAUUUGUUCCUACUUUGUUGUUAAAAUAAUAAUAAUAAUAAAAAGAAAUUGAUUAACAUAAAUCGACUAUAAUAUAUCGCUUUAAAUAAAAAAAAAAAAGAGGCUAACAACGUAAGCAUGAACGUCUCUCUAAUAAUUCGUCGUUAGAAUAAAAUAUUUAAUGAAAACUGUUGCGCGCUCUUAAAGCCCACCUUGAUAUUGUCGCUUAAUCGUUUUUUCCCGCUAAUUAAUUAAACGUCUAAUUAAAUAUUAACGAACGCGUAAAUGAUUCGUCUACUUGUUAGUGUUACGAAUAUUCGAUCUAAAAAAUAAUUUACAACAAAAAAAAUAAUAAUUAAAAGAAAAAAAAAUAGAAAAACAAUAUAUAAGAAAAAGCCACCCCCAAAAAAAAAGAAAGAUCGAACGAAGAAGAUAAUCUAACGCAAAUAUUACUAUUCUAAUUACAAAAAAAAAAAAAAA